Molecule: ribosomal RNA, 406 nt
Filed under: uncultured bacterium
Lineage: Bacteria
Description: partial 16S ribosomal RNA
Rfam family: Bacterial small subunit ribosomal RNA
Source: RNAcentral
AUUGAACGCUGGCGGCAGGCCUAACACAUGCAAGUCGAACGCGUGGCGGACGGGUGCGUAAUGUCUGGGAAACUGCCUGAUGGAGGGGGAUAACUACUGGAAACGGUAGCUAAUACCGCAUCCCAUCGGAUGUGCCCAGAUGGGAGUAGCUAGUAGGUGGGGUAAAGGCUCACCUAGACGACGAUCCCUAGCUGGUCUGAGAGGAGGACCAGCGACAGUGGAACUGAGACAAGGUCCAGAAACCAAAGGGAGGCAGCAGUGGGGAAUAUUGCACAAUGGGCGAAAGCAUGAUGCAGCCAUGCCGCGUGGAGGAAGAAGGACUGGGGGUGGUAAAGUACGUGUAGCGGGGAGGAGGGACCCGAAGAAGAAGCACAGGCUAACUCCGUGCCAGCAGCAGAGGUAAUUC